Molecule: long non-coding RNA, 2683 nt
Organism: Felis catus (domestic cat)
Lineage: Eukaryota; Metazoa; Chordata; Mammalia; Carnivora; Felidae
Exons: 3
Source: RefSeq, a predicted model, not a curated record
ACUAAAAGCCACCUCCAGCUGUCUGGGGUGGUGGGGGACAGGCUUGAGGAAUGGAAGGGAUAAGUUGUGUUUGGACGAGUCGAGCAGUCCCUGAGAUCAUUUGGGAGCUAGAGGGAAGAGGACCCUAGAGGUAUUUUGCAGAGUGUUUCUUGAGACCACAUUACACGCCAUGCCCUCUGCCGCCUGCUGAGCACAGGGGCAUGUGGGAGGAUUUUAUCUCAGCUCUGGAGAAAUGUCUAGUUAGCUGAAUGACAGACACUAAGGAUUUUGAGGGAUACGGAGGGAAACACCUGGGCCAGGAGUUUGAGUCCUGACUUUGUUUCUGUGAAAAACACCGGCUCGUGCCUUCUCUACUCUGAUGCUUCAUUUUUAGCUCUGCAAGCCCUGGACUCCCAGGGCUGAGAUGAUCGAAAAACAAGAUGGUAGGACAUGGGGAUUUGGGGAGCUGGACAGAGGUUCUGGCAUCACUGGGGUUCCCAGGAGGCAGGGCACAGCUGGGGGCCAAGGAGGUCCAACAACAACGAGGACAGAGCAUAGGCAGAAGCCCCGGCCGUCUUUUAGCCAAAGAGGAGUUGAUACAGGGAAAGAGAAGGUUGUUAGGAAGAGGAGACAGUGCAGAGGAUAAACUUCUCAAACUGGAGUUGGGGUCUCAGGCGACGUGGGAUUGGCCACAAAUCCUGCAGCUGGGUUUUACCAUUGACCAGAACCCUUCUUGUCCCCAACUGGGGUGGCCGGUCACUCUGCUCGAACUGCCCAUUUCCAAUCUCCUGACCUAGCCGCUGUUCUAACGCUCCAUGUUCGAGGACUUUCUUAGGUCACCAGGGACCAGUUUGCUCUUACAUACUUAAAAUUAUGCAAUUGGCAGUUAACGCCAGUGGGAGCAGCUCUCCAACAAGGAUUGACAGGCGCUGGUAGCUAAACCUCUUAGCGCUUUCAACCCUCAAAUGGGAUAACUCUGAGGCAUACGUUCUAUGCUGGCUCCCAGAGUUCCCCGAUGGGAUUAAGCUCCAAUUGACUAUAGUAGUAAUUUGUGUGAAAACGCAUCCUCCAUCGACUGCCUUCUUUUCCCUGUCUCAUUCCCUCAAGCUCCAAAUGGUGCCACCUGGGAUCGUCUCCCAAGUAAUCUACUUGUACUCGAGAUCUUUGUGUCAGGGUCGCCUCGUGCGGGAACCCAAGCUAAGGCGCGCGACUAUCUCCCCCACUUCCGGGUCUCUGUCUAUGCGGUUAAAAUGAGACCGACCCCAUCCCCCAACUCCAGGGAUGGGCACAUGACUCGGAGCUGACCAAUCACACCACCAUACCUCUUUGGCUACAGUGAUUGGUUCAGGGGUCGUCACGUGACCCCCAACCAGGCCAAUGACAGCUUCUUCCUGGACUUCUACCGAGACGAUUGGGAACAGGAACCUUUUUCUGCUGCGGUCCCCAAACUCUUGGGACGUUAGGUUGGGGGCCGGUGUUCUCUGAGGAUGAAGCCGCCUCAGAGGAUGCUGGUGCUGAGCUGAGGAAGCGAAAUCAGAUCCAGGUGGCCUUAUGUGCAUCCCUGGUUCCGGCGCAGUGUGUAAUUUGAAGUGCCGUUUAUUAGCCUGGUCCAUCCUGAGCUCUCCUAGGCAGGCCUAUUUCCCAUAGCUCCUCGGGUUUGCCCUCCCUAUCUGGCCCCUCAAGUGACAGGGUUUGCAGUCCCUGGAUUUGGCCCGGAAAUCGUUCUUGCCUGAGUGUUCUGAGUUGCUUUAGCAACAUUGUGGAGCAAGGGGAGUUACCAACGUUCAAGGUGGCGGAAUAACCUGUUUGAGAAAUCAACUACUUUUCAUUUCCUCAACUCCAGAGUCAUUGGGAAAGAAUGAAAGAACCGAAUUUUGCGGGACCAAGGAGCAGCGUGCAAGGCCCAGAGGAUGAAUUCUGUUUGGUCUAAGCCAGCAUGGGAAUCCUGUCUCCCUUUGACCUAGUCUUGGGGACGUGACUUUUGGAGCUACAGCACUUACUUUGAGACUCUAAGGGAAUGGCCAAGGGAAUCCUCAAGAAACUGACCCGUUGCCCUAAUACUGAGAUGCCGAAGUUCCCAAUCCCAAAACAUUUUACUUACCGACUUAUUGUUACCUGAGAUAAUAAAGAUCGACAUUUAAGGCUCUCUUAACUGAGUGUCAGGUUACCUGCAGCCCAACCGUGCCCUAACGGAUCCACCUGCAGACUUUAGAAGUUUAAAGCACGGAAGGCGGAACCAAAAAGGCUGCCACUUCUCUGCGAUUGUUCCGGUUCUACAGCCGGUCAGGCUUCUCCCACUUUGCUCUUUGACUCUUUCCUCGCGAAGCUCUUGCAGCUGAAUAAGCAUUAAUAAUUCAUCAGGACCCCACCACUCUGGGCUGAAUUGUGUAAACUUCCUUGUUAGUCUGAAGGUUUCCUGAAGCCCUGUGCAAGCAUUUACCAUGUAGAGGGUAAGACGGGGCUAACCUAGGAGUUUGGCCUCUAACAGUGUAAUUUUUGUGUUGAAUUUUUUUUUUUAUUUGUUAAUAAUAUCAAACCUACAGAAGAGUUGGAUGAAUAAAAAUGGGACAAAGAACACCUAAGAGAAAGCAUGAGCAGGAGAGGGGCAGAGAGAGAGGGAGAGAGAAAAAUCCCGAGCAGGCUGUGUGACAUGGGGUUCGAUCCCACGAACUGUGAGACCAUGAACUGAGCUGAAAUCAAGAGU